UACAACAAUCUGGGUUUGGUUUACAAAGAUAUGGGAGAGUACGAAAAAGCAAAGAUUUUAUGAACGAACAUUAGAAAUUUACACAAAA
Xenia sp. Carnegie-2017 is the source of this 88-nucleotide long non-coding RNA. RefSeq lists it as uncharacterized. The transcript is spliced from 2 exons. Lineage: Eukaryota; Metazoa; Cnidaria; Anthozoa; Malacalcyonacea; Xeniidae. The record is from RefSeq and is a predicted model, not a curated record.